Non-coding RNA from Xyrichtys novacula (pearly razorfish), 1791 nucleotides. Lineage: Eukaryota; Metazoa; Chordata; Actinopteri; Labriformes; Labridae. The record is from the annotation of a GenBank genome assembly.
GGAUGUGAAAGAAAACAUCUGCCAUGAGUGGAAGUUGAAAGUUUUUAUGCAUCACUUGACGCCAAAUUAGAAGUAGACGAAGCUGACAGUGGUCAGGAGUGACGAGCUCGGCAAACCAGUUCAGUGUGCAGGAACAUUACUGCAUUAUGUAGGAGAGGAGCGGGUGAAUAUUUCAUGAGCUGCUGUAACACACGUAACAUAGGUGCAUGCUUACGCACAGCACAUAAAAGCACAUGUACAGACGUGUUAGUGUAGGUAGAGCAAAACGCAACACACACUGAAUCAAAAAAGUAGGACACAUUAACCUGGAAAACCUCUUUUUUUUCGCUCUGAGUGAGCACUCUGCGGGAACUAAAACAAUGUGAACACCGUACUGUUGUGACUGUGUGUAUGUGUUGGCAGCAGCUCCACAUAAGGAAGUCUCUGAGUAAAUAUCAAAGGUUCAUUUCCACACACCUUUCCUCUGCCCCUGUAUGUGUUUACCAUGGAUAUGUGCAGAAAUACCAUCUGACUUCCUCAGAGUGAGUGAGCCUGGCUUUGGAGGGCGUCCAACAAUAAAAAGUGAUCUGCCUCUGUACAGGGUAGACAGUAAGGCUGAGCACUGAUGGGAAAUACCUCAGAUUGCAGGAAGCACUUACGAUGUUCUGAAAUCAGUUUUCUUGGAUAAGCAAUACUCAGUGACGCAGGCUCUUUUAUCACUUCCAUAAUGUGCUGCAUGAUUUGCCGUAAUUUGCUUUCAAUGCUGAAUGAGGUGUAAUCACCAUCUAAUUUUGUGUUAUCAGGAAUGUUUUUUAUGAUGAUCAAGACAUAUUCAACGGCUGCAGUACAACCAUCUAACAUCACAAGUAAGAAAAACAACAGCUUUUGAUUUUAUUAUGAUUUUCAUUUUAGGAUAAAUUUGUGAUUGAGGCAAAUGUGGUAAAGAUGUCCAUCUUUGAUCUUUUUGAGGAUGUCUUGGCAAGACUAUUAUCUCCACCUGAAAGAACAACAAUAAUCUUUGAACUUCAGCAUUCAUUUACAUUUUAUGAAUGUGUUUUUUCGUAUAUAUUCCCUCUGACAUGUAAUGAUCCUGAUGAUGACUUGUUUUGAUUUCAUCAUUUUAUUCUUGAAUAAUAGAAGCUCAGUACAAAGAUCCAAAAUUAAGGGGCUAUUUAUUUACAAUACAUCAUUCAAAUACUCAAACAAAGUAUUUGUUUACUAUAAUACCAAAGAAAAUAUGCUACUUACAUUUUACAACCAUAAUGAAUCAACCUUUUCAACCAGUAAGCCUUUGUCCUGCUAAAGAUCCAUGUUUGAUUCACUCAUAAGCAAGUACUUGGCUCAAGACAAAGUUCCCCAAGACAAUAGUGUACUGAAUGCUAUGGUAUGUUCUGUCGCUUCACCGUAUCGUAUCGUAUCGUGUCGUGUCGUAUUGUAUUGUAUUGUAUUGUAUUGUAUCGAAUCGCGUCAUAUCAUAUUGAAUCGUAUUGUAUCGUAUCGUAUCAUAUUAUAUCGUAUCAUAUUGUAUCUCAUCAUUUUGUAUCAUAUUGUAUUGUAUCGUAUCAUUUCGUUUUGUAUCAUAUUGUAUUGUAUCGUAUCAUAUCGUAUUGUAUCGUAUCAUAUCGUACUGUAUCAUAUAAUUUCGUUUCGUAUCGUACUGUAUCAUAUUUCGUUUUGUAUUGUAUCGUAUUGUAUCAUAUUAUAUCGUAUUGUAUUGUAUCGUAUCGUAUUGUAUCAUUUUGUAUCGUAUUGUAUCGUAUUGUAUCGUAUCGUAUUGUAUCGUAUCGUAUCGUAUUAUAUUGCAUCGUAUCA